Molecule: ribosomal RNA, 427 nt
Filed under: uncultured bacterium
Lineage: Bacteria
Description: bacterial SSU rRNA
Rfam family: Bacterial small subunit ribosomal RNA
Source: RNAcentral
UGGGGAAUUUUGGACAAUGGACGCAAGUCUGAUCCAGCCAUGCCGCGUGCGGGAAGAAGGCCUUCGGGUUGUAAACCGCUUUUGUCAGGGAAGAAACGAGUUUCUCUAAUACAGAGACUUAAUGACGGUACCUGAAGAAUAAGCACCGGCUAACUACGUGCCAGCAGCCGCGGUAAUACGUAGGGUGCAAGCGUUAAUCGGAAUUACUGGGCGUAAAGCGCACGCAGGCGGUUUGUUAAGUCAGAUGUGAAAUCCCCGGGUUCAACCUGGGACCUGCAUUUGUGACUGCAUAGCUAGAGUACGGCAGAGGGGGAUGGAAUUCCGCGUGUAGCAGUGAAAUGCGUAGAUAUGCGGAGGAACACCGAUGGCGAAGGCAAUCCCCUGGGCCUGUACUGACGCUCAUGCACGAAAGCGUGGGGAGCAAACA